RNAcentral lists this ribosomal RNA (314 nucleotides) under uncultured eukaryote. RNAcentral's name for it is "partial 18S ribosomal RNA". It matches the Rfam family "Eukaryotic small subunit ribosomal RNA", at positions 1470 to 1796 of the family's 1831-position model. The record is from RNAcentral.
CCCUUAGAUGUUCUGGGCCGCACGCGCGCUACACUGAUGCAUGCAACAAGUCUUUUCCUUGGCCGAGAGGCCUGGGCAAUCUUUGAAUAUGCAUCGUGAUGGGGAUAGACGAUUGCAAUUAUUCGUCUUCAACGAGGAAUUCCUAGUAAACGCAAGUCAUCAGCUUGCAUUGAUUACGUCCCUGCCCUUUGUACACACCGCCCGUCGCACCUACCGAUUGAAUGGUCCGGUGAAGCCUCCGGAUUGGCGCGCACCUCGGUGCCGCCGAGAAGUUGGCUAAACCUUACCAUUUAGAGGAAGGUGAANUCGUAACA